AAAUUUUUUUUGUUUUGUUUUGUUUUGUUUUUGAGAUGGAGUCUCACUCUGUCGCCAGGCUGGAGUACAGUGGCACAAUCUUGGCUCACUGCAACCUCUGCCUCCCAGGUUCAAGUGAUUCUCCUGCCUCAGCCUCCUGAGUAGCUGGGAUUACAGGCGUAUGCCACCAUGCCUAGCUAAUUUUUGUAUUUUUAGUAGAGACAAGGUUUCACCAUGUUGGCCAGGAUGGUCUUGAUCUCUUGACCUCAUGAUCCCCCCACCUUGGCUUCCCAAAGUGCUGGGAUUACAGGCGUGAGCCACUGAGCCCGACCUAGUUAAAUAAAAUUUGAUAAACACGAUGGACUUGGUUGUGUGUUUUCUGGUUUUUCUGAGAUCUAGUUUGAAAAUUCUGACAACUAGCAAAGUAUAUGGAGGCUUCUUCAGGAAAUAGUAAACAUAUUUCUUUUUACAGCCUAAUAGUCCCAGUGAAUAUUGUUUUUAUGUGGAUAGUGAUAUGGUCAAUGAAUUCAAGUUGGAAUUGGUAGAAAAACUUUUUGCUGAAGACACAGAAGCAAAGAACCCAUUUUCUACUCAGGACACAGAUUUAGACUUGGAGAUGUUAGCUCCCUAUAUCCCAAUGGAUGAUGACUUCCAGUUACGUUCCUUCGAUCAGUUGUCACCAUUAGAAAGCAGUUCCGCAAGCCCUGAAAGCGCAAGUCCUCAAAGCACAGUUACAGUA
This 718-nucleotide small RNA is filed under the name Pongo abelii (Sumatran orangutan). RNAcentral's name for it is "retained intron". The record is from RNAcentral. Lineage: Eukaryota; Metazoa; Chordata; Mammalia; Primates; Hominidae.